UACGGGGGGAGCAAGCGUUUGUUCGGAUUACUGGGCGUAAGCGCACGUAGGCGGAUACUUAAGUCAGGGGUGAAAUCCCGGGGCUCAACCCCGGAACUGCCUUUGAUACUGGGUAUCUCGAGUCCGGAAGAGGUGAGUGGAAUUCCGAGUGUAGAGGUGAAAUUCGUAGAUAUUCGGAGGAACACCAGUGGCGAAGGCGGCUCACUGGUCCGGUACUGACGCUGAGGUGCGAAAGCGUGGGGAGCAACAGGG
RNAcentral lists this ribosomal RNA (252 nucleotides) under uncultured bacterium. RNAcentral's name for it is "partial 16S ribosomal RNA". It matches the Rfam family "Bacterial small subunit ribosomal RNA", at positions 524 to 776 of the family's 1533-position model. The record is from RNAcentral.